RNA transcript from Grammomys surdaster, 944 nucleotides. It is a transcript of the gene named dynein light chain roadblock-type 1, with no coding region annotated. The transcript has 4 exons. The record is from RefSeq and is a predicted model, not a curated record. Lineage: Eukaryota; Metazoa; Chordata; Mammalia; Rodentia; Muridae.
GAGAUGGUGAGUGUCCACCCAAGGCGGCGGUAGUGGGCUCCGGCCGCCCGGCGUGGCCGUCCCCGGGCAGGGGUUCUAGUCCUUGGGCGUCACCCCGCGGGACGGGGGAUGCGGGCCUUUAGUCCCAGCCGAGGCGGAGCGACCGGAAGCUGGUGUGUGAGGGGCCCCCCCGGAGGUCCGCCCUCCGGCUCGAUUAUAGUUUAGCAUUUUGGGCAGUGUUGGGCGACCAGCCAGGCUGCUGCGUUUCCUGAAGUCCGGCAGGCAUAUGGGAGGCACCGUAGGCGUAGACGCUUUACAAGUGCGUUGCCUUGCCUCCUCCGCUCUGUGUAGUAGGCAGAAGUGGAGGAAACACUCAAGAGGCUUCAGAGCCAGAAAGGAGUACAGGGCAUCAUUGUGGUGAACACAGAAGGCAUUCCCAUCAAGAGCACAAUGGACAAUCCCACCACUACACAGUAUGCCAACCUCAUGCACAACUUCAUCUUGAAGGCGCGGAGUACUGUGCGUGAGAUUGACCCCCAGAAUGACCUAACCUUCCUUCGAAUUCGCUCCAAGAAAAAUGAAAUUAUGGUGGCCCCAGAUAAAGACUAUUUCCUGAUUGUGAUUCAGAAUCCAACUGAAUAAUCCAUCCACUGUCUUGGCUUCCUGUGUCAUUCCUUAAUUUAAUGUCCCCCAAGAAUAAUAGUGUUAAUCAUGUCAGUGGGCACAUGGUGGUUGCCUGAGAGCCCAUGAAGACCAUACCAUUGAUCAAGGGUAGCUCUGCCCACCCCACCAAGGAGUGCCUCUGAUGACCCAGUCAGUCCCCAGGACAGCUCAGUUCUCAUUUCCAGGCUUUGGAAUGAGAGCUUAUGAUAAGCCCACACCCAGCUUCCUUCUGACCCUCAGUUCCCUUUGUCCCCUUGGAAAGCUGUUUUGUUUCUUAAACUAAAAAUUACUUCAACCCCCUA